RNAcentral lists this ribosomal RNA (758 nucleotides) under Salmonella enterica. Its description in RNAcentral is "partial 23S ribosomal RNA". It matches the Rfam family "Bacterial large subunit ribosomal RNA", at positions 1 to 701 of the family's 2925-position model. Lineage: Bacteria; Pseudomonadati; Pseudomonadota; Gammaproteobacteria; Enterobacterales; Enterobacteriaceae. The record is from RNAcentral.
GUUAAGCGACUAAGCGUACACGGUGGAUGCCCUGGCAGUCAGAGGCGAUGAAGGGCGUGCUAAUCUGCGAUAAGCGCCGGUAAGGUGAUAUGAACCGUUAUAACCGGCGAUACCCGAAUGGGGAAACCCAGUGUGAUUCGUCACACUAUCAUUAACUGAAUCCAUAGGUUAAUGAGGCGAACCGGGGGAACUGAAACAUCUAAGUACCCCGAGGAAAAGAAAUCAACCGAGAUUCCCCCAGUAGCGGCGAGCGAACGGGGAGGAGCCCAGAGCCUGAAUCAGCAUGUGUGUUAGUGGAAGCGUCUGGAAAGGCGCGCGAUACAGGGUGACAGCCCCGUACACAAAAGCGCAUGUGCUGUGAGCUCGAUGAGUAGGGCGGGACACGUGGUAUCCUGUCUGAAUAUGGGGGGACCAUCCUCCAAGGCUAAAUACUCCUGACUGACCGAUAGUGAACCAGUACCGUGAGGGAAAGGCGAAAAGAACCCCGGCGAGGGGAGUGAAAAAGAACCUGAAACCGUGUACGUACAAGCAGUGGGAGCCCCACCACUAAGCCAGUGGUGAACUCCACAUACGCAUCCUUUGCUGAGGAGACGGUUAACGGAGCGAAAGCGACGUUCAACCUCAAAACAAGCAGAGGGGGCUUAGUGGUGGGGUGACUGCGUACCUUUUGUAUAAUGGGUCAGCGACUUAUAUUCUGUAGCAAGGUUAACCGAAUAGGGGAGCCGGAGGGAAACCGAGUCUUAAUUGGGCGUUAAGUU